GGGGAAUAUUGCUCAAUGGGGGAAACCCUGAAGCAGCAACGCCGCGUGAAGGAUGAAGGUUUUCGGAUUGUAAACUUCUUUGAUUGGGGACGAAACAAAUGACGGUACCCAAAAAACAAGCCACGGCUAACUACGUGCCAGCAGCCGCGGUAAUACGUAGGUGGCGAGCGUUGUCCGGAAUUACUGGGUGUAAAGGGCGUGUAGGCGGGGAUGUAAGUCAGAUGUGAAAUACCACGGCUCAACUGUGGGGCUGCAUCUGAAACUAUGUCUCUUGAGUACUGGAGAGGAAAGUGGAAUUCCUAGUGUAGCGGUGAAAUGCGUAGAUAUUAGGAGGAACACCAGUGGCGAAGGCGGCUUUCUGGACAGUAACUGACGCUGAGGCGCGAAAGCGUGGGGAGCGAAC
Molecule: ribosomal RNA, 403 nt
Filed under: uncultured bacterium
Lineage: Bacteria
Description: bacterial SSU rRNA
Rfam family: Bacterial small subunit ribosomal RNA
Source: RNAcentral